Molecule: transfer RNA, 70 nt
Filed under: Marmota monax (woodchuck)
Lineage: Eukaryota; Metazoa; Chordata; Mammalia; Rodentia; Sciuridae
Description: tRNA.Ala
Source: RNAcentral
GGGGUGGGGCUCAGUGGUAGAGUGCUUGCCUGGCACAUGUGAGGCACUGGGUUUGAUUCUCAGCAUCACA